RNAcentral lists this ribosomal RNA (370 nucleotides) under uncultured eukaryote. RNAcentral describes it as "partial 18S ribosomal RNA". It matches the Rfam family "Eukaryotic small subunit ribosomal RNA", at positions 592 to 976 of the family's 1831-position model. The record is from RNAcentral.
CAAUAGCGUAUAUUAAAGUUGUUGCAGUUAAAAAGCUCGUAGUUGGACCUUGGACCUGGACAGGCGGUCCGCCCCACGGCGUGUACUGUCUUGCUGGGUCUUUCCUCUUGGUGAUCUGUUGUUUCGGCAGCAGGGAACCAGGACUUUUACUUUGAAAAAAUUAGAGUGUUCAAAGCAGGCUCGACGCCGGAAUAUAUUAGCAUGGAAUAAUAAAAUAGGACGUGCGGUUCUAUUUUGUUGGUUUUUGGAAUCGCCGUAAUGAUUAAUAGGGACAGUCGGGGGCAUUAGUACUCACAUGCUAGAGGUGAAAUUCUUGGAUUUUGUGAAGACUAACUUCUGCGAAAGCAUUUGCCAAGGAUGUUUUCAUUAA